Molecule: long non-coding RNA, 1607 nt
Filed under: Numida meleagris (helmeted guineafowl)
Lineage: Eukaryota; Metazoa; Chordata; Aves; Galliformes; Numididae
Description: lncRNA (ENSNMEG00000018614.1)
Source: RNAcentral
AUGUUUAAAUUGAACAACUUGCCUGAGCAAAUGCAGUAUAUGUUACCUGUUCUCAUGAGGAUUGCUGUUUACUUUUCAAGCUAUCUGAUUUUGCUGCAGAUGCUUCUUCGAAUCUGCCUGUGGAUGUGUUCAGCAGUUUCCUUUCCAGAAUAUUUCUUCUCUAGUCAAUCCUGUAGAUCUUUUCAAGGGCUAACUCAUUUCUGCAGUUGGAUUGCUCUGGCAGACACACUUUGUGGCAUCACAAAGAGGACACCCUGCCGUGUAGCUCUGUCCUACCAUCCUACCUCUGAGGCCACUCAGAAUGUUAUGGAGAGACCAGGACUCGAGAAGACAGGACCAUGCUAAUGUAGAGGUGUCGUUUCUGGAUCUGCACUAUAGAAAUGCUUUUCCACAAAUUUACUUGUAUGGGAGAGCAUGCUGUAGCCUGUUGUAUUGUACAAGCUGUUCUAGUGCAGAUCUUUGUUAUUUUGCUUAAAAAUUUCGCUGUAAAAAUUAACAUUCAGAGCUAGUUGCAGGAUCAAGACCACAGUCAGAUAUUCUUCAUAUGAAAGAUAGCAGAAAGUUGAGCUGCAGAGAAAUGCAGGUAUUGCUGGAGUACCGGGCAAAAUGUGGCAUUAAUCUGCAAGCAUCCAUACGUGCAGCAUGUUAAAAUGGAGAGACAUACAAACCAGGAAAAUCUCUGUUUUAUCUAAGAGCUGAGGUUGUCAGGAACGUAACUACCUGGUUAAGUAAUUUUCUCUAAGAAGCAAAUAUGUUUCCAACCCUUUUCUUUUUUUAUUUGAAGCAGGACUGUAGUUCAGACUUAGAACCAAAAUUCCCUGCGUUGUUAGCCAAAGAUGGCCACAAUAGCUUGUGGGUACAAACAUGAGACCAAAUACAGGGUCAUGAGGAAGACUUCUGCAAUUGAAUACCAUCUGUUGCACUAGCUAUUCCCAAUCUCCUCCAAAGCCAUUUCAGAUAAAUAUAUGGGUAAGAUGGCAUCCUUCCAUGAGUUGCAGGUAUUUCUCAGGGUUUCUUUGUUCUUCCCAGCCACCAGAAGUUUUCAGUGCUGCUGUCCUUGAGAGGAACUGGGGGACAAUGUCUCCAUUUCUGAAGUAAGAGUAUGGAAAAGUUGUAAAAGUGAAGAGGAGUCUUCCUGUUUAUUGCAUUCCUUGGUAUUUCGUGCAGUGCUGGGAAUACAGAUAUCUUAGAAUUUACAGUUUAAAAUGUCAAUAGCGGAGGUUUGCUUAACCUUUGUAGUUUCUCCCUAUGGAGAAAAAUUUGUAUUCUCUCUACGAAUAUGUGUGUGUGUGUCUGGGUGUGUGUGUGUGCAUGAGCACAUAUAUAUUAAAAUGCAUAUGUUUAUAAAAUACAUAUAUAGCACUUCCCUUAGUUUCAGAAUGUCAUUCCCUGUGGCCUUACCUCUAUUACACACAUCAUUCAUUAGAUUAUGAAAACCAUUAAUGUCAGGAAGCAGAACCAAAUGAAUUCACUAAGGGACCACCAUUAGCAUACCAAGUAGCUAUUUCUCAGCUAAAUAUUCCUGACAGCCCUCAUUACAUAUGACGGAUGGGCUUUAUAAGAGGUAGCAGUUCCAGAAGAAAAUAAAAUCUCAGCAUUCUACUACA